UACGUAGGGUGCAAGCGUUAUCCGGAAUUAUUGGGCGUAAAGGGCUCGUAGGCGGUUUGUCGCGUCUGCUGUGAAAACUGGGGGCUCAACCCCCAGCCUGCAGUGGGUACGGGCAGACUAGAGUGCGGUAGGGGAGAUUGGAAUUCCUGGUGUAGCGGUGGAAUGCGCAGAUAUCAGGAGGAACACCGAUGGCGAAGGCAGAUCUCUGGGCCGUAACUGACGCUGAGGAGCGAAAGCGUGGGGAGCGAACAGG
RNAcentral lists this ribosomal RNA (253 nucleotides) under uncultured bacterium. Its description in RNAcentral is "partial 16S ribosomal RNA". It matches the Rfam family "Bacterial small subunit ribosomal RNA", at positions 524 to 776 of the family's 1533-position model. The record is from RNAcentral.